AUUGAACGCUGGCGGCAUGCCUUACACAUGCAAGUCGAACGGUAACAGGUCUUCGGACGCUGACGAGUGGCGAACGGGUGAGUAAUGCAUCGGAACGUGCCCAGUCGUGGGGGAUAACUGCUCGAAAGAGCAGCUAAUACCGCAUACGACCUGAGGGUGAAAGCGGGGGACCGUAAGGCCUCGCGCGAUUGGAGCGGCCGAUGUCAGAUUAGCUAGUUGGUGGGGUAAGGGCCUACCAAGGCAACGAUCUGUAGUUGGUCUGAGAGGACGACCAGCCACACUGGGACUGAGACACGGCCCAGACUCCUACGGGAGGCAGCAGUGGGGAAUUUUGGACAAUGGGCGCAAGCCUGAUCCAGCAAUGCCGCGUGCAGGAAGAAGGCCUUCGGGUUGUAAACUGCUUUUGUCAGGAAAGAAAUCUUCUGGGCUAAUACCCCGGGAGGAUGACGGUACCUGAAGAAUAAGCACCGGCUAACUACGUG
This 482-nucleotide ribosomal RNA is filed under the name uncultured bacterium. Its description in RNAcentral is "partial 16S ribosomal RNA". It matches the Rfam family "Bacterial small subunit ribosomal RNA", at positions 30 to 507 of the family's 1533-position model. The record is from RNAcentral.